Molecule: ribosomal RNA, 497 nt
Filed under: uncultured bacterium
Lineage: Bacteria
Description: bacterial SSU rRNA
Rfam family: Bacterial small subunit ribosomal RNA
Source: RNAcentral
UGGCGGCGUGCCUAACACAUGCAAGUCGAGCGAGAAAGUUCCCUUCGGGGAGCGAGUACAGCGGCGCACGGGUGAGUAACACGUAGGUAAUCUGCCCCGUAGUCCGGAACAACUAGGGGAAACUCUAGCUAAUGCCGGAUAAGACCACGGCCACCUCGGUGGCUGCGGCCAAAGGCGGCCUCUUCAUGAAAGCUGUCGCUAUGGGAUGAGCCCGCGGCCCAUUAGCUUGAUGGUGAGGUAACGGCUCACCAUGGCUACGAUGGGGUAGCCGGCCUGAGAGGGUGAUCGGCCACACUGGAACUGAGACACGGUCCAGACUCCUACGGGAGGCAGCAGUGGGGAAUAUUGGACAAUGGGCGCAAGCCUGAUCCAGCCAUGCCGCGUGGGUGAUGAAGGCCUUCGGGUCGUAAAGCCCUGUCAGGAGGGAAGAAAAACGGUAUGGCUAACAUCCAUACCGCUUGACGGUACCUCCAGAGGAAGCACCGGCUAACUACGUG